RNA transcript from Triticum aestivum (bread wheat), 3355 nucleotides. RefSeq lists it as uncharacterized. The transcript is spliced from 6 exons. The record is from RefSeq and is a predicted model, not a curated record. NCBI's taxonomy places the organism in Eukaryota, Viridiplantae, Streptophyta, Magnoliopsida, Poales, Poaceae.
CUGUUCCUUCGUCUCCCCCUCGAGCGCUCCUCCCCCCCUCCCUGUUCUGUUCGUGCGAGGAAGAAAGCAGCGGGACUCCGCAGGACGCGCCGGGCCCCCGCAGGACGCGCCGGCGGCCGCCUCCACCUCCGCUGAUCGCCGCCGGCUCGGCCUACCGCCGCGCCUCCGCCUCCGCCUACCCGAUUAAGAUCCAUCCGCCAUAUGCAUGGACGGCGCCCCGUUCGAUUUCUUGUCUCAAACGGAAUAGUCUGGUGCUGCUGCGGAGGCCAUGGACGGCGAAGGGUGGGGCUUGACGCCGCCUCAUCUCCGGCGUGAUAGUUCCGGCGGCCGCGUUCCGAGGGCCGGGAACGUCGCCGCACCGCGCAUGGACCUGGGGAACCUUGACCUCAACGCCGACUGCGGCGCCGCCUCGUACCCCGACAUGACCAUGUACACGCAUAUCCUUCAACGGGACAGCGGCUCCGGUCAAGGUUUCCCCCCACAGAGGGCAAGAUCAGAUGGCUUGCCGCUGCGAGGUCGUCCACCUCGCAAGGUCUGUCCGUAGCGAGGGCACCAGGUGCUCGCGGCAAGGCCGUCGUGGUGCCGGGGGGAGGUGAUGCUGCUGCCAUGCGAGUUGCUGCACGUCGUGGGGGUUCAAAUGGCGCGAGCAGCAGCAGGCAGCCGCAGGUAGCGCCGAUUCCGGUGGAUGAUGAUGACGGCAUCGAAGAAGACGAAGAUGAAGAUGAGAACACGCUGAACCAGCAUAGGAAGAAGCCAAAAAGCAAGGCUAAUUGGACCGACGAAAAUACGUACAUUUUGUGUGAGUUAGCUUGUGAGGAGAUAGAGGAUGGCAAUUUUACUGCUAAAGUUUGGACCAGUCAGGGUUACAAAAAUAUUAUGGAGAAAUAUUAUCAAAAGACAAAAUUGUGGCAUCUAGGGAGGGAAGUGAAGAACAAAAUCCAGAACCUGAAGGGUGUGUACAAUGAUUGGGUAUGGUUGCAGCAACAAACCGGAUGCGGCCGCGGCGAACAUGGAGAAGUUACGGCAACUACAGCUUGGUGGGAGAGGGAGAUCAAGAGUAGACCAAAUCUCAAGAAAUUUAGAAAGGGUAACCCUGAGUACAUUGGACUGUUGCAUGAGGUAGCUGUGGAUGGUACUUCUGCUUACGUACCUGGGCGACCAGAGAUCCUGAAUUCAGAGUUGUGCAUGAAAGGUUAAGAAAUGCUCAGUGGCAUCCAUGGUUCAAUGACAGCAUUGGGGCAAUAGAUGGGACUCAUGUGCAAGUUGUGGUGCCACCUACCAAGAUUCCGCAGUACUUAAACAGACAUGGCUACUGUAGUCAGAAUGUUAUGGUUGUAUGUGAUUUCAACAUGAGAUUCACUUUCGUUCUUGCCGGGUGGCCUGGAUCGGUUCAUGAUAUGAGGCCCUUCAAGGAUGCCCUUAGCCGGUUUAGUCACAAGUUUCCUCAUCCACCUCCAGAAAUUUUUUAUCUUGUUGACUCGGGCUACCCCAACAAGGCGGAUUAUCUUGCACCAUAUAGGGGGCAGAAGUACCAUUUCCAAGAGUUCCAUCAAGGCACCAUGCCGAGAGCUGUGUAGGUUUUGCACAACCUCUGCGGCAACAGCGGCCAUGCGGCGGAUAGGACGGUGAGGAGGACGCGCAGAACUCUAGGGAAUUCCGAACUCUAGACGGCGGCGGCGACGAGAGGUCGUGCAGAACUCUAGACUUCCUGUGGGAUUAGACUAGCCACAAUGGGUAGUUGGCAUGUUACUACUCUAUGUUAAUACCUCUAUAGUGGGGAGUAACAUAUUUGUGGUAACAUGCAAUACUUCAUUUAUUAUGCUAUAGACUCAUCUUGCCUUGAUAUGUGCGAUGUUACUCAUACUAGUAGUAACUAGCUAUGUUACUACAUGUCUCUCUUUCUUCAUUUAUUGCUUGCCACAUCAUCUAUUUUAUCUAGAUAUGUGUGAUGUUACCACUGUGGGUAGUCUUAAUAAUGGCCGGUUGGAAAUCAGAAUUAAGGCUUGGCUGGAUAUAAUCGGGGACUAGUGCUUUGAGAUAGGUACUGACACGUGUCGUGAAUCUGAAUGGCGUAGCGAGGCGUACGACCUAGUAGUAUAAGAUUUUUUCCCAUGUUUACGUUGGCGCGCAGGAACGGGCAACGAUCAGGAGUGCUAAUAAAUACACCGAUAUCGAGAUGGGCUCACAGGAUUUGUGACUUGUUGUCGUGUGCAGUAAAGAGAAAGUGAGCGCCAAUUUCUAUUUGACGCUUAUUACGUUAAGAUGUCGUUGUUUCGCACAAGGAACCGAGCGAGGGAAGUUCAGAUGUGCUAACCCAUUUAAGCUAUUAUUAUACAUCCACAAAUAGCGGUUUUGUGAACCUUUCUUUCAUUUCUGAUUUUUUUUCUUUACCUGCUUUUGGUUUCUUUACUUAAAAAAAACAAAAUGUAAGCGUUUAAAAAAUAUUCAUGGUUUUUCUAGAAAAUGUUCAAAAUUUCAAAAACAUGUUGUUUUUCAGAAAUGUUCUCAAAUUUAAAAUAUUGUUCACUUUUAAAACUAUAUAUAUAUAUAUAUGUAAUAAUAUUUUAUAUAUUCAUAUUUUGAAAAUAAAAAAUCAAUCUGAAGUAAGUAAAACAGAAGAAGAAAAUGUGUCGCAACAAGAAGAACGUCUUGCUAUAGGACAAUCAGGCUCGCUCGCUAUGCGUCGACCUAGUCAGGAAGGAUGUCCCGUGCGAAAUAACGACUAUUUGACGCCACUAGCAUCAAAUGGCGUCAAAUAGGAGCACUCAGAGUGGGCGGUGGGGGAGAAAGGAGAGGCGAUGAAGGGAUGGGUUAAGCCUCUUGGCAUACUAUCAUGGUAUGUCCUCCCUCCGCCCCUUAAUAUCAGACGUCUUUGCAUUUGAACUGCAAAAACGUCUUAUAUUAUGGGACAGAGGUAGUAUAUUUUUGGGGUAAUAUUGACUAAAGAUUAUUAGGCUCAAAUCCAAAUCAGAUGAUACGAUGGUAUUUAUUUAAUUUAUACUAAAACCUUCCAAUUAAUGCACGUGGCCAGCGAUGUCUCUCCAGGGAGCUCCUAUUCAGCGACCCGUGCGGUGGAAAUCGAGGAAGCGUGCGCUUUUGGGCCGGCCCAUGUAGGGGGCAGGCGCCACUGUUUAUUUAUUUAUUUUUUCUAUUUUUUUGCUUCUAUAAAAUUGUUUGGGAUUUCGAAAAAAAAUCGAAUUUAAAAAUGUUAGUGAUUUAAAAAAACGUUCGCAAAUUCAAAAAAAUAUGAAUUUAGAAAAUGAAAAAAAAAAUCACAAAUUCAAUAAAUGGUCAUGAAAUUGAAAACAUGUUCAUGAAUAAAUCAAAUGUUUGCACAUAGAAAAAAUGUCUACCC